RNAcentral lists this long non-coding RNA (233 nucleotides) under Trifolium pratense (red clover). RNAcentral describes it as "long non-coding RNA (TPRA_LNC005757)". The record is from RNAcentral. Lineage: Eukaryota; Viridiplantae; Streptophyta; Magnoliopsida; Fabales; Fabaceae.
CACUUGUUCGAGUGCUCCAGAUAAGGUAUCCAUUUAGCUAAAGACUUCUCUUUCUUUUGUCUUAAAUGUGAACUUACUGAACUGUGGCCUGUAGGAUAUUCCUGUUCUCUCGACCAUCCCUGAGCAGACUAACGUUGCCACUACUCAAGAUCUCCCUCAUAAUGCUGAGCCCAUUACUGAUGAGAAGAAGAAAAAGAAGAAGAAGAAGAAAGAACACCAACCCAACCAAGAAG